RNAcentral lists this transfer RNA (67 nucleotides) under Petrasma pervernicosa. RNAcentral describes it as "Solemya pervernicosa tRNA-Phe". The record is from RNAcentral. Lineage: Eukaryota; Metazoa; Mollusca; Bivalvia; Solemyida; Solemyidae.
GUUUUAAUAGCUUACAUAUAGAGCGCAGCACUGAAGAUGCUGAAGCGGUAAACUUUACCUUAAAACA